AGCAGUGUGGUUUAAUGGAGAAAGCUCUGGACUGGGACUCAGGAGACCUGGAUUCUAUUUCCAGCUUGGCCA
This 72-nucleotide transfer RNA is filed under the name Chelonia mydas (Green sea turtle). It matches the Rfam family "tRNA". From Rfam's summary of the family: Transfer RNA (tRNA) molecules are approximately 80 nucleotides in length. Their secondary structure includes four short double-helical elements and three loops (D, anti-codon, and T loops). Lineage: Eukaryota; Metazoa; Chordata; Testudines; Cheloniidae. The record is from Rfam by way of RNAcentral.